AGAAAGCUCUUAAUAGGAGGCUGGAAACAUUCGAGUCAUCUUAAAUUUUCAAGUGAUUUUAGUCACCUGAAAUUACAGAUGUGGAACUUUUCCGAAGCCUUUCAGUGCUUGAUUCUCGGCGGCAAUGCAGAAUGAGCGUGAACUUUGUCUCCUAUGUUGAAUGAAAGGAGUUCAAGCACGGCAUCUGGGAGAAAGAUAGCUGAAACAAUCUCAGUGCUCAUGAGAAAGACGCCAAGAUUUUGAUAUUCCCAAGGAAAAAAUGUCCAGAAUGGAGUAACCGCCUGAUCAUCUGUGGCCUGGGAGCACACGAUAAACCCUAACUCCCUGGUAACCAGAGCAGGAGGAAAGGCGGAGUUUCUGCCAGAAAACUGGUGCACACAGCACCCCGAGGGUUUAUCUGCAGCCCCGGCUGAACAGUUUUGUGGUUAGGAGUCUUCAGACCACAACAUAUCAGUCCUAAACGAAAUAAUCAUAAAAAAAUAUGUGAAAGCCUCACAGUAAUCUCUUAUUAGGCUACACCACGCAGGUUCACUCUUAGAAUAAAGAGAAACAAAUCUGAAUCGGUUUUCCAAUUUUAUUGAAGGAAAGCACGUAAGGGGUUUUGAUCUCUGUACAAGUGGAAAAAUUCUUCAGUGCUUCGCUUAGGCACUAAGCCUUCCCCACCACUACCACCCCCUUUUCUAAAAAAA
Molecule: long non-coding RNA, 689 nt
Organism: Oxyura jamaicensis (ruddy duck)
Lineage: Eukaryota; Metazoa; Chordata; Aves; Anseriformes; Anatidae
Exons: 2
Source: RefSeq, a predicted model, not a curated record